CCUACGGGAGGCAGCAGUGGGGAAUAUUGCACAAUGGGGGGAACCCUGAUGCAGCGACGCCGCGUGGGUGAAGGAGUAUUUCGGUAUGUAAAGCCCUUUCAGCAGGGAAGAACAGUGACGGUACAUGACUAAGAAGCACCGGCUAAAUACGUACCAGCAGCCGCGGUAAUACGUAUGGUGCGAGCGUUAUCCGGAUUUACGGGGUGUAAGGGGAGCGCAGGCGGGGUGUUAAGCCUGUUGUGAAAGCCCGCGGCCCAACCGUUGGACUGCAUUUGGAACUGGCGCGCGUGAGUGCCGUAGGGGUAGGCGGAAUUCCUAGUGUAGCGGUGAAAUGCGUAGAUAUUAGGAGGAACACCAGUGGCGAAGGCGGCCUACUGGACGGUGACUGACGCUGAGGCUCGAAAGCGUGGGGAGCAAACAGGAUUAGAUACCCCAGUAGUC
This 441-nucleotide ribosomal RNA is filed under the name uncultured bacterium. RNAcentral describes it as "partial 16S ribosomal RNA". It matches the Rfam family "Bacterial small subunit ribosomal RNA", at positions 338 to 795 of the family's 1533-position model. The record is from RNAcentral.